Molecule: ribosomal RNA, 892 nt
Filed under: Hemipristicola gunterae
Lineage: Eukaryota; Metazoa; Platyhelminthes; Cestoda; Phyllobothriidea; Phyllobothriidae
Description: partial large subunit ribosomal RNA
Source: RNAcentral
AACCGCAUGCAGGUAAACGGGUGGCGUCAAGCUGCAAGCCCAGAGAAUUCAGCUGGCUAGGAUGUAGUGUAUGCGCCUGGCGCAUCUAUCAGUCGGAGUAAGAUGUGAUAGUCCACUGGGAGACGGUGGGCCUGGCCGCAAGGCUGGGAUAUGUGUACCGGGUGUUAGCCGGAGCAUGCUAUUCAUCUGUUGGACUGUCUAGCUAGUGCACUUUCUCUGUGGUGAACACCACGACCGGUGGGAUUGCCAGUCUGCUGUAGCCAAGUCGUAUUGAGUGGGUCCUUGUGGCCAACUUGGUGCGAUCACAGGCAAUGUCAGUAAACGGCGUAGGGGUGCCAUUCGGUGUCCUUACGUGUUAUCGGCUACUGCUUGUCAACGGGCCUGCCUGAUGGUUGUUGUAACCGGCAUUGGGUGGUCUGGUGGGCUAUGGUGGUAAGAAAAACUGUGCAAGGCACCGGAGAUGUCGGCCUCAAAAGCGCCUUGCAUUGGCAUGUUGCAAGUGCUCAGGGGUGCCGUUGCGGUCUGCCUGUUGUUGGGUCUGAUUGUCGUGUCGCCUGCGCAAAGUGGGCCCGGCAGUGGCUCGAUGCGGGAUGGGUCGUGGACGGUGUCUCGAGUGUAGGGUGCGGUGGGCCCAAUAGUCAGUGGUGUAGUGGUAGACGAGCUACCCGACCCGUCUUGAAACACGGACCAAGGAGUUUAACAUGUAUGCAAGUCAAGGGGUCCUACGAAACCCAAAGGCGCAGUGAAAGUGAAGCUUCGACUUGUUCUCGGAGUGAGGUGAGAUCCUGCCGUGACUCGCAUCAGCUUGGUGCCAGCAUCAGGCUAAGAGCGGUGGGCGCAUCACCGGCCCGUCCCAUGUUGUGGUCAUUGGAAGUCUGUAGUUGUUGCUUGC